GGUCUGCACAGGAAGUGUUUCACUGAAGGUGAGGAAAAUGUUGACAUUCAUCUUUUUUUAUUACCUGCUGAGUUUGUUGUUGUUGUCGUCCCACGACAGACGUUUGAGCUCCUCUGAUGGAAGGACCAUGCCGCUGUCGCUCUGCUCCUCCUGAACAUUCACAGAUUGGUGAGUGUCGUCCUGGCAGGGCACCUGGAAGGUGUGCAGCGUGGCCACAGCCCGCAUGUAACUACACAAGACAAAGACUGGACGAGUCCCUCCAAGCUGACCUGCUGCACCAUGGACUGGAGCAUGUCGCCCAAGGUCUGCACCAGCUGGCAGAAGGAGGGUCGCUCGCUGACCUCGGUAUCCCAGCACGCCAGCAUUGUGCUGUAACUAUAUACACACACACAUUCUUGUAUUUGUUACGUUUUUGAGACCUCCGAAAAAUGCCUACCUCUUUAGAACCACCCUUUCUAGAUGUAUAAAGAUGUGUAUUUACAACAUUAAUAAUAUAUACAUACUAUGCAAAUAUAAAAAGCUUGUUGUAAAAAAA
Molecule: long non-coding RNA, 535 nt
Organism: Nerophis lumbriciformis (worm pipefish)
Lineage: Eukaryota; Metazoa; Chordata; Actinopteri; Syngnathiformes; Syngnathidae
Source: RefSeq, a predicted model, not a curated record